This is a long non-coding RNA of Zalophus californianus (California sea lion), 1715 nucleotides long. RefSeq lists it as uncharacterized. NCBI's taxonomy places the organism in Eukaryota, Metazoa, Chordata, Mammalia, Carnivora, Otariidae. The transcript is spliced from 3 exons. The record is from RefSeq and is a predicted model, not a curated record.
ACAAACAAACACAAAUUUGUUGGGGGAAACAUGCCCGAGAGAACGUAUAUCAGUGAAGAGGAGGAGCAUGGGCUUGAGUUUAAAACACUCCUGUCUGAUGGACAUCAAUCUGAGGGCUGCCGGUGGAAACGCCUCCUAGACAACUGGGAUGACAAAACAGUGCACUCAGAACAGCCUUUCAGGACCUGACCUGCUUCUACAUGGAGGAGCUUCUGAACAUGAAGAAUCUUGCAACUGCCUGGCAGCUGCCUCGUUAUUGCCCCGCACAUGUGACAUGCACCUCGGGCGUCUGUUGCCAUUGCUUCACACUGACUUGAGUCACGGCUGGGUCUUCCAGAAGAAAAAAUGAUACUCAUACUGCUGGUUUGGAGGUACUCCGGAUUCUGGUCUCCUUUCACCAUCUGCCUGCUGCCAUUUACUUUUUGGAUUCCCCGAAGAGAUGCUGCAUCGUUCUGCCCAGGUUUUAUAAAGGCAAUCUAUGGGAGAGUCCAGGCAGAGGGUACCCGGUGCUGUUGGUUCCUGAGUUUUUUGAAGAUUCUCUAGUGUGGGACAAGCUCAUUCUUUGCUUUAUCUACUGCCAACUCAAGGCCGGUAAGUCCUUUAUCACCUGCUUCCUAGCUUCUCAUAUUUUGUUGCUGUUUUUUCCUCUCCUGUCCCGCCUGCCUGUGUGGGGUGUGUCUUUAAACAAUCUCUUUACUGUAGUUUUAGUGUAUUUUGGGAGGAAGCAAGUUAGAUGUGCUAUUCACUCUUGCAUCCUAAAAAGGAAGUCUAGAAUGUAUUUUUUUAAAUAUCGGAAAUCAUAACUCUUAAUGUUAAAAUGGGACUUGGAUACCACGUUUGCUGGGCCUCAGUUGGGGACAGAUGACUUAUACAAAGCCACAUAACUAGUAGGGAAGAACAGCUUUCGAACCUGGGACCUGACUUGCCUAAUUUUGUUUGCACUAUACCAGCACGGUGCCCUUUAUGAUCAUUAUGAAAUAACAUUAAAGAAAGCUUUUACUGUGAACUAGUUUAAGACUCAUGAAAAGUUCCAAAACAAUAGUACAGAGGGUUCCCAUGUGGCCUUUGCUCAGCUUCCCCCAACAAUAGUCUUAUAGACAACAGUACAUUGUCAAAACCAGGAGCUUGAUGUUGGCACAAUACUCUGAUGAAGGUCAGGUACAGACUCUCAAGUAACAUUUUGAAUGUAUUAAAUUUGUGUAUUCUGCUAAGCAAAAGCCAGAAGAGGACUCAAUCUUUUCUUACUGAGGAGGCUACAAUCUAAAUAGACAUACAAAGAUAACUCACCAAAUAACACUCAAGUACAGUCCAAAAUAUAUUUUAGAGCCGUCUUCCAGAAAAGCAAGAGGUGGUGAAAACAGGAUGGGCUUUGAAACCAGACGAAUCUAAGUCCGAAUCCAACUUCGCUGCUUAGGAUUUGUGGGUCCCUGGGCAAGGAAUUUCCCUGAGCCUCAUUUUCUUAAUGUAAAAUGGUGACUAUUAUUAUCUACUUCUUAACACGGUGAGAAUGAAAUCAUGUAGAAUAUAGUCUAGAAUAGUGCUUGGUACGUAGUAGCUCUUCAAUAAAUGGUCACCAUAACACCACAAUAAUUAUUAAUAAGAUAAUAAUCCUUAAUAAUCAUAAUCCUCUAGUUGUCCGCUUGAUCUCGUGUCCGGCUCAAACACCAGGUAGGUUUCUACCUCCUAAUUUACUCUGUCGGGUUUAAAUAGAAAUU